AUUGAACGCUGGCGGCAGGCCUAACACAUGCAAGUCGAGCGGAUGAAGGGAGCUUGCUCCUGGAUUCAGCGGCGGACGGGUGAGUAAUGCCUAGGAAUCUGCCUGGUAGUGGGGGAUAACGUCCGGAAACGGGCGCUAAUACCGCAUACGUCCUGAGGGAGAAAGUGGGGGAUCUUCGGACCUCACGCUAUCAGAUGAGCCUAGGUCGGAUUAGCUAGUUGGUGGGGUAAAGGCCUACCAAGGCGACGAUCCGUAACUGGUCUGAGAGGGUGAUCAGUCACACUGGAACUGAGACACGGUCCAGACUCCUACGGGAGGCAGCAGUGGGGAAUAUUGGACAAUGGGCGGAAGCCUGAUCCAGCCAUGCCGCGUGUGUGAAGAAGGUCUUCGGAUUGUAAAGCACUUUAAGUUGGGAGGAAGGGCAGUAAGUUAAUACCUUGCUGUUUUGACGUUACCAACAGAAUAAGCACCGGCUAACUUCGUG
This 484-nucleotide ribosomal RNA is filed under the name uncultured bacterium. RNAcentral's name for it is "partial 16S ribosomal RNA". It matches the Rfam family "Bacterial small subunit ribosomal RNA", at positions 30 to 507 of the family's 1533-position model. The record is from RNAcentral.